This is a long non-coding RNA of Cicer arietinum (chickpea), 1465 nucleotides long. RefSeq lists it as uncharacterized. The record is from RefSeq and is a predicted model, not a curated record. Lineage: Eukaryota; Viridiplantae; Streptophyta; Magnoliopsida; Fabales; Fabaceae.
UAUAGCUUUUCAACGCCUACUCGCAUGCGUCAAUCACAUAUUCAGAGCUCAAGUUAUGGCCUGCAGAGCGAGCAAGGGUCAAUAUGCAAAUAAUAACAUUAAAACUCAUCUAGGACCCAAAGUUUAGAAAUAUGCUAAAAAACUAAUCUGGACUAUAAAAAGCUUUCAAAAUGUCACACUACAAAACUAGAAAUAUGUGCCCAAAUGCAUUGACGACCCCUCUUUUUGGGUUGCUACCGAAGUGUUAAAGGGAUUCGACAAAAAAAGUCCAACUCUGUCUGACAAACAAAUUGUCAGAUAGAGCGUCAAGGGGAAACAAUCCUUGGUUGGGGAAGCCUUCCCUGAACAAACCAAAAGAACAUCCCAUACGGGCAAACAUAAAAUCAAAUUGAGAAGAUCACUCAAUUGUGGUAAAACAUGCGAAAAGAUAAAGACGAAAUCACCAAACAUUCUAGGUAACGACAAGUUCAGCGCCAAUAAGUUUGAUGCAUUACAAGCUAUAACACCAACAUAACCGGCCCACCGUCCGCAUUCUCUUCAUCACCCGAGAUCUCAACAAUCUCACCACCUAUAACUACUUUGGUGUAAUCCAUCCCAUCCGUAGUGAGAACUACUCCAUGAUUCAACAACUGGACUUGAGCAAGAACAUUUUCGAACGAAUUUCCUUACAUACAACAUAUAAGUUGUUAACCAAAGCGGCCUUUUGGUCUUCUGCAUCCCUCUUUUCCUGCUCCACAGCAUCAACCUUGCUAGACAACUCAGAUAAUAUGGAUCUGGUCUUUUUAGCACUCUUCUCCAAAUGAACUAUUCUUUCUUCUAGGAAUUUCUUCUCGUCAAUAAGAACUGAAGAGUCUAUUCUAACUCCCGCCAGUUAAGAAGAAAGAUCCUUUCUCUCUUUGUACAAAGAUUUUAAGUCUUCGUCACCUUUCAACAAUUUGGAGUUGGCUUCAGAAAGAAGCUCCUUAGCAUGAGCGAAUACGUCGGCUUGCAGUAGAUAAAAAUUGUUGAAAUGGUUUGUUUGGGGAUGUUCUACCGCUCCAGAAAAUUAACCCUCUCUUUUCGGUGACUUGUGAGACUUCCACCGUGCGACUUGUGAAACUCUUCCAUCUUGCGAGACUUCUCCAUUCCACCUUCAUGACUUGGUGAAUUUGAUGAAUGAUGGUGAUAUUGAUAAAAGAAUUUCAACAUUUAGAAGCACAAGAUGAAUAGAUAGAUGUCGAUACUUAAGUUUUCUCUGUUUGUUUUGUUUUAUAGACGAAUAUUUUUAUUUUAAAGAUGUUAUUUUGAUUGUCUCCUUUUCUCUAGAACAUAAAUCAGAAAAAUUAUAUCAGUACGUCAUAUGAAUGCCCAACAAUUACAACACCUCAUCAAUUAUCAUUAUUUGCUUGACAAGUUGCUAUCAUAUGUAGAGCAAUAUAUGAUGUUUGACCACUAUUACAGGGGACAAUGAACUUUAACUAUAGUA